CCUACGGGAGGCAGCAGUGGGGAAUAUUGGACAAUGGGGGGAACCCUGAUCCAGCCAUGCCGCGUGUGUGAAGAAGGCCCUCGGGUUGUAAAGCACUUUCAGUGAGGAAGAACGCCUUGUGGUUAAUACCCAUCAGGAAAGACAUCACUCACAGAAGAAGCACCGGCUAACUCCGUGCCAGCAGCCGCGGUAAUACGGAGGGUGCGAGCGUUAAUCGGAAUUACUGGGCGUAAAGCGCGCGUAGGUGGCUUGAUAAGCCGGUUGUGAAAGCCCCGGGCUCAACCUGGGAACGGCAUCCGGAACUGUCAAGCUAGAGUGCAGGAGAGGAAGGUAGAAUUCCCGGUGUAGAGGUGAAAUGCGUAGAGAUCGGGAGGAAUACCAGUGGCGAAGGCGGCCUUCUGGACUGACACUGACACUGAGGUGCGAAAGCGUGGGUAGCAAACAGGAUUAGAUACCCUGGUAGUC
RNAcentral lists this ribosomal RNA (465 nucleotides) under Vreelandella stevensii. RNAcentral describes it as "partial 16S ribosomal RNA". It matches the Rfam family "Bacterial small subunit ribosomal RNA", at positions 338 to 795 of the family's 1533-position model. Lineage: Bacteria; Pseudomonadati; Pseudomonadota; Gammaproteobacteria; Oceanospirillales; Halomonadaceae. The record is from RNAcentral.